GACGAACGCUGGCGGCGUGCCUAAUACAUGCAAGUAGAACGCUGAAGGAGGAGCUUGCUCUUCUGGAUGAGUUGCGAACGGGUGAGUAACGCGUAGGUAACCUGCCUGGUAGCGGGGGAUAACUAUUGGAAACGAUAGCUAAUACCGCAUAACAGUAGAUGUUGCAUGACAUUUGCUUAAAAGGUGCAAUUGCAUCACUACCAGAUGGACCUGCGUUGUAUUAGCUGGUUGGUGGGGUAACGGCUCACCAAGGCGACGAUACAUAGCCGACCUGAGAGGGUGAUCGGCCACACUGGGACUGAGACACGGCCCAGACUCCUACGGGAGGCAGCAGUAGGGAAUCUUCGGCAAUGGACGGAAGUCUGACCGAGCAACGCCGCGUGAGUGAAGAAGGUUUUCGGAUCGUAAAGCUCUGUUGUAAGAGAAGAACGAGUGUGAGAGUGGAAAGUUCACACUGUGACGGUAUCUUACCAGAAAGGGACGGCUAACUACGUGCCAGCAGCCGCGGUAAUACGUAGGUCCCGAGCGUUGUCCGGAUUUAUUGGGCGUAAAGCGAGCGCAGGCGGUUAGAUAAGUCUGAAGUUAAAGGCUGUGGCUUAACCAUAGUACGCUUUGGAAACUGUUUAACUUGAGUGCAAGAGGGGAGAGUGGAAUUCCAUGUGUAGCGGUGAAAUGCGUAGAUAUAUGGAGGAACACCGGUGGCGAAAGCGGCUCUCUGGCUUGUAACUGACGCUGAGGCUCGAAAGCGUGGGGAGCAAACAGG
Molecule: ribosomal RNA, 763 nt
Filed under: uncultured Streptococcus sp.
Lineage: Bacteria; Bacillati; Bacillota; Bacilli; Lactobacillales; Streptococcaceae
Description: bacterial SSU rRNA
Rfam family: Bacterial small subunit ribosomal RNA
Source: RNAcentral